AUAAUAACAUAUUUAGUUAUCAAUACUUAUACAAUCUAUCAAUUUGAUCCUCAAACAUAUUAUAAAUAUAGUUAAAUAUAAACACAUAUAAUAUUAUUUAUAUAAAAUAAAAAAAAUUCUUCCCCUCCCCUCUUCCGAUCGUCCCUCUCCUUCUCCCCACCGUCCCUCUUAUAAUUUUUUAUUUUAAAAAAACCUUUCCUUUUAUUUUGGGUUUUUUUUUUCUUCUUUUUCAAUUAUGAAUCCAUGAUAGCGGAGAGAUAGAAAAAGGCUUGACUUUUGAUCGAUCUCAAGAUUGAAAAAAAAUGCUUUUUUUAUUGAAAAAAAAUGCUUUUUUUUUUCUUUUUGAGUUAAAAAGUUUUUAAAUGACCAAAAAAAAAAAAUCUGUUGCAGAGUUGAAAGAGAAGCAAACGACGGGGACGGAGACAGUGAAUCAUCUAAGAGAACGAUUAAAGCAAAGACGCCAACAGUUGCCCGACAUCGAUGAACGUUUCAACGGGAGGGAGGCGAUGGAAGAGAAGAAGGAUACUUGCUCUCUUGUGCAUUCAGGCUUAUAUAGUAAUGCCGCAUGGAGACCUAUAUGGUGUUUUGUAUGAUUGUGCGAAUUCAUUAUAUGUCAGUUAUUGUCAUGGUAUAUGCUAUGUAGUCAUAGAUUAUCCUCGUUUGACACCUUUUUAGUUGAUUGUAAAUAUUACCUGCAACAUGAGUGAUUAUUUUUAUAGUUGAUAUUCAUAUAAUUCAA
Long non-coding RNA from Gossypium raimondii (Peruvian cotton), 739 nucleotides. RefSeq lists it as uncharacterized. The record is from RefSeq and is a predicted model, not a curated record. NCBI's taxonomy places the organism in Eukaryota, Viridiplantae, Streptophyta, Magnoliopsida, Malvales, Malvaceae. The transcript has 2 exons.